This is a long non-coding RNA of Harmonia axyridis, 766 nucleotides long. RefSeq lists it as uncharacterized. NCBI's taxonomy places the organism in Eukaryota, Metazoa, Arthropoda, Insecta, Coleoptera, Coccinellidae. The transcript has 2 exons. The record is from RefSeq and is a predicted model, not a curated record.
UUGAACUCAUCUUCGUACGUGAUGUUGAGUGUUUCUUGUUUUCUCAAUCCCUAUUCUCUUGUGGCAUUUUCUCCACUUUGAUUAUUAUGUAUGAUAUUUCAUAUUGUUCGUUUUUUCAAAACCUAUAUUCAAUGACUUUGAAAAUGUAAUUUUCAUUUACAAAAUAAUGGUAAUGAAUUAUAAUAUUCCUGACCCCAUUUGAAAACGAUAUCCAUAGAUUUCUUUUCGAAAUUCAUUGAUCCGGAUGUAGAACUUAAUUAUUCAAAAUAUCACUGAGGCCAAUAAUAAAAAGAAAAACUAAGCCGAUAAUUUUAUAUACUUAUGUUCUCCGUAUGUUCUCAUGUUAUUUCAAUGUGAUCAGAAAUUUCUGAAAUAGCUUUAAGUACAUAAGUUCAUAUAUAUACGAUAAAAUUUGGAAAGAAAAGAUGAUAUCAGAACCUGAGCAAAUUUUACAUGCUAGGCAAUUUCAUGUGGUUUACAUCAGACAAGAGAAAGAUGACACUUCCAGGGCUUGUACCAGAUAUUUUAUCAUAUUUUUGUUUGCAAUGGCAUUCCUAUUUAUAGUGAAAUUAAUUAAUAAUUAUUUUUCUGUGUUUGCGGACUUCAGCGAAGUUUCUCUAAAGCAAUCAAAUACAUAAUUCGAUUUGUCCAAUUACUGUAACAUGUAAGUGUCCACUGUAUUCUUUCAAAAAUAUCAAUAACAAAAUAAUAUUUAUUUCAUAAGACAUAUGAAAUAUUUUCAUAGCAAUAAAUAUAUUUUUAUCCA